UACGAAGGGGGCUAGCGUUGCUCGGAAUCACUGGGCGUAAAGCGCACGUAGGCGGACUCUUAAGUCGGUGGUGAAAUCCUGGAGCUCAACUCCAGAACUGCCUUCGAUACCUGAGAGUCUUGAGUCCGGGAGAGGUGAGUGGAACUGCGAGUGUAGAGGUGAAAUUCGUAGAUAUUCGCAAGAACACCAGUGGCGAAGGCGGCUCCACUGGCCGGU
This 216-nucleotide ribosomal RNA is filed under the name uncultured bacterium. RNAcentral's name for it is "partial 16S ribosomal RNA". It matches the Rfam family "Bacterial small subunit ribosomal RNA", at positions 524 to 738 of the family's 1533-position model. The record is from RNAcentral.